Molecule: ribosomal RNA, 292 nt
Filed under: uncultured bacterium
Lineage: Bacteria
Description: partial 16S ribosomal RNA
Rfam family: Bacterial small subunit ribosomal RNA
Source: RNAcentral
GUGUCAGCAGCCGCGGUAAUACAGAGGGUGCAAGCGUUAAUCGGAAUUACUGGGCGUAAAGCGCGCGUAGGCGGUUUGUUAAGUCGGAUGUGAAAUCCCCGGGCUCAACCUGGGCACGGCAUCCGAUACUGGCUGACUAGAGUGUGGGAGAGGAAGGUAGAAUUCCAGGUGUAGCGGUGAAAUGCGUAGAGAUCUGGAGGAAUACCGAUGGCGAAGGCAGCCUUCUGGCCUAACACUGACGCUGAGGUGCGAAAGCAUGGGGAGCAAACAGGAUUAGAUACCCCUGUAGUCC